Small nuclear RNA from Amblyraja radiata (thorny skate), 182 nucleotides. RefSeq annotates it as U2 spliceosomal RNA. The transcript has a single exon. NCBI's taxonomy places the organism in Eukaryota, Metazoa, Chordata, Chondrichthyes, Rajiformes, Rajidae. The record is from RefSeq and is a predicted model, not a curated record.
AAAUCCUUUCAGCCUUUUAGCUAAGAUCAAGCACUGUAUUUGUUCUUAUCAGUUUAAUAUCUGAUACGUCCUUUUUCUACGGACCAAUUGAUUUUUGGAUCAGGGAGGUGGAAUAGGGGCUUGCUCCGUCCACUCCACACAUCGACCCAAUAUUUCAGUGUCUCAGAGAGGGUGACACGGUG